This 468-nucleotide ribosomal RNA is filed under the name uncultured bacterium. Its description in RNAcentral is "partial 16S ribosomal RNA". It matches the Rfam family "Bacterial small subunit ribosomal RNA", at positions 28 to 507 of the family's 1533-position model. The record is from RNAcentral.
GACGAACGCUGGCGGCGUGCUUAACACAUGCAAGUCGAACGGAAAGGCCCUGCUUUUGUGGGGUGCUCGAGUGGCGAACGGGUGAGUAACACGUGAGUAACCUGCCCUUGAUUUUGGGAUAACUUCAGGAAACUGGGGCUAAUACCGGAUAGGAGCUCCUGCUGCAGGGUGGGGGUUGGAAAGUUGCGGCGGUUGGGGAUGGACUCGCGGCUUAUCGGCUUGUUGGUGGGGUAGUGGCUUACCAAGGCUUUGACGGGUAGCCGGCCUGGGAGGGUGGACGGCGACAAUGGGACUAAGAGACGGACCAGACUGCUACGGGGGGCAGCAGUGGGGAGUAUUGCACAGUGGGCGGAAGCCUGAUGCAGAAGCGCCGCGGGCGGGAUGACGGUCUGUGGGUUGUAAACAGCUUUAGCCUGUGACGAAGCGUGAGUGACGGUAAUGGGUAAAGAAGCACCGGCUAACUACGUG